RNAcentral lists this ribosomal RNA (717 nucleotides) under Enterococcus sp. Z4-SB-E14. RNAcentral's name for it is "bacterial SSU rRNA". It matches the Rfam family "Bacterial small subunit ribosomal RNA", at positions 67 to 755 of the family's 1533-position model. The record is from RNAcentral. Lineage: Bacteria; Bacillati; Bacillota; Bacilli; Lactobacillales; Enterococcaceae.
CGCUUCUUUUUCCACCGGAGCUUGCUCCACCGGAAAAAGAGGAGUGGCGAACGGGUGAGUAACACGUGGGUAACCUGCCCAUCAGAAGGGGAUAACACUUGGAAACAGGUGCUAAUACCGUAUAACAAUCGAAACCGCAUGGUUUUGAUUUGAAAGGCGCUUUCGGGUGUCGCUGAUGGAUGGACCCGCGGUGCAUUAGCUAGUUGGUGAGGUAACGGCUCACCAAGGCGACGAUGCAUAGCCGACCUGAGAGGGUGAUCGGCCACAUUGGGACUGAGACACGGCCCAAACUCCUACGGGAGGCAGCAGUAGGGAAUCUUCGGCAAUGGACGAAAGUCUGACCGAGCAACGCCGCGUGAGUGAAGAAGGUUUUCGGAUCGUAAAACUCUGUUGUUAGAGAAGAACAAGGAUGAGAGUAACUGUUCAUCCCUUGACGGUAUCUAACCAGAAAGCCACGGCUAACUACGUGCCAGCAGCCGCGGUAAUACGUAGGUGGCAAGCGUUGUCCGGAUUUAUUGGGCGUAAAGCGAGCGCAGGCGGUUUCUUAAGUCUGAUGUGAAAGCCCCCGGCUCAACCGGGGAGGGUCAUUGGAAACUGGGAGACUUGAGUGCAGAAGAGGAGAGUGGAAUUCCAUGUGUAGCGGUGAAAUGCGUAGAUAUAUGGAGGAACACCAGUGGCGAAGGCGGCUCUCUGGUCUGUAACUGACGCUGAGGCUCG